CCUACGGGUGGCAGCAGUGAGGAAUAUUGGUCAAUGGCCGAGAGGCUGAACCAGCCAAGUCGCGUGAGGGAAGAAUGUCCUAUGGAUUGUAAACCUCUUUUGUCAGGGAGCAAAGUCACCCACGUGUGGGUGUUUGCGUGUACCUUAAGAAAAAGCAUCGGCUAACUCCGUGCCAGCAGCCGCGGUAAUACGGAGGAUGCGAGCGUUAUCCGGAUUUAUUGGGUUUAAAGGGUGCGUAGGCGGGUUAUCAAGUCAGCGGUGAAAUCGUGGAGCUCAACUCCAGCCAGCCGUUGAAACUGAUGAGCUGGAGUGGGCGAGAAGUAUGCGGAAUGCGUGGUGUAGCGGUGAAAUGCAUAGAUAUCACGCAGAACUCCGAUUGCGAAGGCAGCAUACCGGAGCGCGACUGACGCUGAAGCACGAAAGCGUGGGUAUCGAACAGGAUUAGAUACCCGGGUAGUC
This 459-nucleotide ribosomal RNA is filed under the name uncultured bacterium. RNAcentral describes it as "partial 16S ribosomal RNA". It matches the Rfam family "Bacterial small subunit ribosomal RNA", at positions 338 to 795 of the family's 1533-position model. The record is from RNAcentral.